Ziziphus jujuba (common jujube) is the source of this 1287-nucleotide long non-coding RNA. RefSeq lists it as uncharacterized. The record is from RefSeq and is a predicted model, not a curated record. NCBI's taxonomy places the organism in Eukaryota, Viridiplantae, Streptophyta, Magnoliopsida, Rosales, Rhamnaceae. The transcript has 3 exons.
GUCUUAUGCUCUCUGAACCAAAAAAGCAGGUUGCGGAAUCCGGCGAGAAUGGCCUCAGCGACAUCGUUUGCAUCAGGUGGGGGAAGUCUUCGUUUUGUGCAGCCCGUUUCCUACGAUCGGUCCAAUGGAAGGCAGCAGAUCUGUCUCAGAAUUGGUUCGCAACCCAAUUCCAAUUCCUUGCUGGCGAAGUCCUUAAGAUUGGAACCAAAAGAUGAAUUCGCCAAUGGGUUCCCGAGAUUUGGACGGCUUGUUGUCUGUUGUAAAUCUAGUUCGCCUGUAACUCCAUCUCGAAAUGUUCUUCCUUUUUCUUUCUAGUUUUUACAGCCAGCGGAAGAGUUUGAUUUUGUCGUUUAACUUAAUAGGCUUGAGAGGCAAGCAAAGGCCAUGUCCUCCGAGGGGAGAUGGGAAAAGAUAGUGGAGAUAGAGCAUCUGAUGAAGGCAUAUAUCCUUAUCGUUGUGUAAUUUUAAUUGUUGUGAUUGUUUUUGAGUCACGUUUAUGAAUGCAUUAUGUAAUUUAAUGUAAUGGCUGCAGAUUAAUAACGGGGAAUUCAGUGAGUCACUUGGCAAGCAAUUGCAUACAGUGUAAAAGUGGCAAAAAAGAAGCAGCAUGGGAGUCGGAUUCAGAUUGUGGAGACAGAGCAUCUCAUGAACGGUAUAUUGACUGAGCAGAAGCAAAUUUGCGUCUUGGUAAAGCUCCAGAACUAGAAGAGUUACUGGAAGGAUAGUUGAAGCGUGACUUGGAUAUGAGUUUUGGUGAUUUUGCUGCUCCAGUUGUAUUUUCCAAGGCUGAGGUUGGGAUCAAGGCCUUCAGGCCUAUGCUAGAGGCCAUCUAUAAAUUCAUCCAAUGCCACCCACCACCCACACCCCACAAGGUUGUUGUUGGUGAAUCAUCAGAACCAGAUCUUGUUUUGAUGCAAGGACCUUAUUUGGAAAGUCGAAUUGAACGAGCUAUUCAAUAUAAGAAUGAGAAUGGUGAAGCAUAUGUCCAGAUUAAUUAAAUAUUUGAUUCUUGCUUUCACACAAGAUGAACGGUUUGGAAAGAAGUUCAUUAAGGAUUUUCAAACACCCCAUCAAACUUUGACAUCUUUAAAAACUAAGAUUGUCCUCCCCGAAGAGCUUCAACGUUUUUCAGAGGAAUCCGAAUAUGAGACAAAUAUGGAAGAGAUAGACGAAGAGAUCGAGGACUGCUUGUCUUCCUUCAAGAACGAAUAUAAUACUGUUAUAUUUACUCGUAUCAUAUACCUUCACUUAAUCAAACAAAAGUUAUGCAUACCAAAAUGUUUGUUU